CGGCAAUAUGUUUCGUUUAAAGAUACUUUCAAGGAUUGCUUCAUUACUUCUUUAGGGUGCGAGUCGAGACGCUGAAGAGAGCCAACGGCUGGCAACCAUUUCUGGCAAGCGCAAUAAUUUUCUUUGGAACCUGGGCUUUUCCUACCUGGAACCAUACCUAAAACAAAGCUCCACUUGCCCCUUGAAGAUCAAUGACACAAUUAAGUGUAAAAAUUUGGAGGUGGAUUUUGAGCAAUUUCCUGCUCGUUUUCCAAUUGAGACUGGAGAAUAUGGCCUGAGACUAGGAUUUUAUUACAAUGGAGGUGUCACGGUCUCUAUUAAUGGUUCAGCGCAGUAUUCCAAUUACAGGGAACAUUAAAUCCGAAAUGAUGCAUGGAUUGAUCAUGAUUUUUUGAACAAAUAAAACUGUUUACUUUAUGGACCAUGAACACAUUAAGAAAACUAAGGAUACACUCGUAAAAUUAUUAAGAGAAUUUGGGAAAAACUAGCGUAUAACACUGUAAGUAAAAGAGAUAUUAAGGAAAGCACUGAAA
This is a long non-coding RNA of Drosophila serrata, 533 nucleotides long. The record is from RefSeq and is a predicted model, not a curated record. NCBI's taxonomy places the organism in Eukaryota, Metazoa, Arthropoda, Insecta, Diptera, Drosophilidae.